GUUUGCCCGAACAUGUCCUUGAAAGGUUUCGUGCUCAUAUGGUUGCCAGACUUUAACAUUUAGUGUGUCUAAUGAUCCUAAAUGUGGAUACGAGUGAAAAUAGCCCGGGAUAAGAUUUCAAAUAUAUUGUAAUGUGUAAUAUAAAGUAUAUACAAGUAAGGUUCUUAAAAGUGGAAAAUAAAAUCUGUGAAAAAUGGACGAUAUUUGCAUGUUUGGGGUAAUGUUACAGAAAAAUCUGGCAAGACAAAUGGCCGAUUAUUUUAGCCAAUAGGAGGAUGAUGCGAGAUGGUGAAGAUGAAGAUGUAUGUAUCCGUUUCUACAUUUAUUACUACGUUCACUUGACAGGAGUAACCAUUUGCAGUGGCAGAGUUGUAAAUACAUAAAGGAAGUUUAUUUAUUUGUGCCCUGCGGAAAUGGAGACCGGCUUGUGUUCGAAGCAGACUGAAAUCAGGUGUGCUGAGCAGAUUCCAUCCUUGGCUGCUUGGGUCAUUGAAUACGCAUGGAGUCACCGAAUGAUGGACGUACUGGAAGGGUUAGUGCCAUGUAAGAGGCAGAAGGGUGAAUGUCGAUCACUGACCCUGGAGGAGCCUUGUGCUUUGCGUGUAGCGGCAGCACAGGCAUGGUCAGUGGUAAACGCCAGGGACGUCAAACACUUUGAGAGUCUGCUGGAGCUGCUAGAGUCCAUCUACACACUGGUGCCACGGCUCAUCACCCCUAUCAAACACAUGAAGAUUAUGUUUGGCCUUAAGACCAUGAUUGUCAUGUGGAUGUUGCAGAAGAACCAUGGAGAAGUCAGCACCAUGAAGAAAAUAAACCGCUUCUUCCCAAGCAGCCUAUCUUUGUACCAUGGCUGUAGCAAAAGGGAGCUGGAUCUGAUGAAAAAGACCAAUUACGAAUUUAAGCAGCUAGCCCAAUCGCUGCUUUUCCACGAGGAAAUGCGGAAAGCUUACAUCAGUGGCCAGAUGGAGGAGCAUUACGGAGAGAGAUAUGCACAGAAGCUAGAGGAGAGGUUGUUUGACUACCUGCAGCUGCUGGAGAAGGACCUUCAACCAACCACAUGUUUAGACCAGGUUUUGAGACAGGAGCGCCCCCUUGUGGAAGGGGAACAGUUGCUGCUGGGGGUGUUGAGCUAUAGUCCUCACUGUGUGCCUGCAGCACUGAAAAGGCUGCUAUACUAUGCCAAGGCCACACCCUCUAUAGGCCCUGGAAUGAGCCAGCCAUCUACCUGCACUGACAAGGAGAAACAGACACUACAGCCCCUCACAGAUCCUAAAGACAGACCAAAAUGGACACCGCUCCCUGCAGGGCAACCUGGACUGGUGAGGUCCAGCAUGUCCCACAGCAGUUGGAAGGGGUGUGGAAAGGAGAAAGCUACGUCCACACCACUGUGUUCAAGGUCGUCUUGUGCCGAAGGUCGAAGUGACAGGGCAGAACAGAGACUCAGAAAACAGGGCUUGUCUCUGGGUGGGUGGAGCCAUGGGACAAGAGGGCAUGGCCAUGAGGAAAAAGGAUUGAGCCAGGAUAAAAGAGGGUGGGAUCAGAAAGAAAAGGGGCAGGGCCAGAAGGACAGAAGGCGGGGCCCGGGGAAAGAAAGGCAGAAUUGGGGAAGCACUCAGCUGGCAGAACAACACUGUCAGAUGGGGGAUUAUCCCAUGCAGCUAUGCUCCAGACACAAGAGAUGGGUGAGAAACAUACUGCAGGAGUGCUCUGUGGAGGUGGGUGCUCAAAGUGUGGGCAUUCUAAAGGAAUACCCUACGGAGGUAGGAUGUGAAACUGUGAACAUUAUAGAGCAGUGCACUAAGGAGUUAGAGGGUCAAAAUGGGAUCAUUGUGGAGCAGUGCCAUAAUGAGGUGGGGGAGAAAACUGUGAACAUUAUGGAGCAGUGCCCUAAGGAGGUGGGGUGUCAAAGUGUGAACAUUAUGGAGCAGUGCCCUCAGGAGUUAGUGGGUCAUGGUAUGAUCAUUCUGGAGUCAUGCUCUGAGUUAGAGGGUCAGAAUGGGAUCAUUUUGGAGCAGUGCUAUAAGGAGGUGGGGUGUCAAAAUGGGAUCAUUUUAGAGCAGUGCAAUAAGGAGGUGGGGUGCCAAACUGUGAACAUUAUGGAGGAGUGCUCUCAGGAGUUAGAGGGUCAAAAUGGGAUCAUUUUGGAGCAGUGCCAUAAGGAGGUGGGGAAGCAAAGUGUGAACAUUAUGGAGCAGUGCCCUAAGGAGUUGGAGGAUCAAAGUGUGAGUUUUCUGGAGCAGUGCCCUCAGGAGUUAGAGGGUCAAAGUGUGAGUUUUCUGGAGAAGUGCUCUCUGGAAUUUGAGGGUCAAAAUGGGAUCAUUUUGGAGCAGUACCCUCAGGAGUUAGAGGGUCACGGUAAGAGCAUUCUGGAGAUGUGCUCUCAGGAGAUGGUGGGACAGGGUGUGAGAGAUUUGGAGGAGUGUUAUGAGGUGUUGAGAAGGAAUCAGGGUGCGAUUGAGCUUCAGCAGAUACUACCACUCACCUCAUCCCAACCAGUGACGUCAUCCCAUCCAUAUCACUCCCCAAUGAGCUACCAGGGCUGUGGCCAGUACACAGCCAGCUCCCUGGCUAGGGUGGAGAAUGUGGGGCUUGGAGUUCGGAUUUCUGUGGAGAGUCAGCUGAUUCUAAUCCGGUCCCAGAUGCUACAACCCACUGUGCGGGUCAGGAGGCUGACACAAAGGGAGUGUCACCUGGCCACAGGUAUGAGGGGAACUAUGAUUAGACCUGAGGAGGCGGAAGAGGGAAGAGAUAAUGAGGAAGAGGAGGGAGAGGAAAUUGAUGGGAGAGAGGAGGAGGGAGAAUCGGAUGACUGGGAAUCGGAUUUUUCUUAUUCAGAAGUAGACUCUGGUUCUUAUUCUGACCCAGAUUUUAAACCCCCUUCUAGAACAGUAAGUGGAAUUUGGACAGAUGGCAGGAGUGAGAAAGCCUGGGAGAGAUCUGGUGAUUAAUCAAUAGAGCAUUGUCACUGAAGAUCCCAUCUGUUCAACAGAAAGUUCACUCAAAAUAUUUAGCAGUGUUUUCCAGCGCUUCAUGUGAGAUGUUGCAUCAGCGGUUCCCAACCUGGCUCCUAGAGGUCUACUGUCCCAUAGGUUUUCACUCCAACCCUAGCAAAGCACACCUCAAUGAGCAGCUAGAGAUCUCUUUGAGCUGCUAGUUAGUAGAAUUAGGUGUGCCAAAUUAGGGAUGAAAUUAAAACCUACAGGAUGGUUGAUCUCCAGGAGCAGGGUUGGGAACCAUUGUGUUACAUGGUGUGUUUUGCGUGUUUAUUUAAACACUGGUUUCAAAAAAUUGGUGGUGGGGCAACAUAAAGCACUGAGUAUGCAGCCUUCUCAGUCACCAUAUCUGCAUUAUUCUACCACGUAAUGUUCAUUUUUGUCCUGUUUAUGUUUAGAAAUGAAAAAUAAAACUCCAUCUUUGUUCUGUUUCGGAGGUUGGUUCAGCAGAAUCACAUUUUUACUCAAGCAAUUGCCAGGGGUGAACAAACAGACAGACAGGGUCUCUGACUGCACACCAAGUUCAUCAAAGGACAAAAUAAAACUUCUCGUGGGUACAGCGGUUAUAACCAACAAGAAACAGGCAUUCGUGCAGUGCUGUAAAAGAGCAGGGAAGAGGAGUUAAGCAUAGGUAGCAAGGUACCAGCCAUGUACUUGCUCACAGAGAUUUAAUGACCUUGAUAUCUCAGUAGUUUUCCACUUUCACAUGUCUGUGUAACAAUUUGGUGCUCUUCAACAUGCCCCUGGCUAUGGGUGUCGUCCAGGUUGUGCCCUUCUCGGCCAUUCGCCAAAAAGGAGGAUGUGAGUGAAUGAAAUGUUUUUAAAGCCCAGCAUUUAUAAUAAUAUCCUUGCAUUUAUAUAGCACUUUUCCGAAUGCUCGAAGUUCUUUACAGUCAGGGGGAACUCACCUCACCCACCACCAAUGUGUAGCAC
RNA transcript from Anguilla anguilla (European eel), 3926 nucleotides. RefSeq lists it as uncharacterized. The transcript has 8 exons. The record is from RefSeq and is a predicted model, not a curated record. NCBI's taxonomy places the organism in Eukaryota, Metazoa, Chordata, Actinopteri, Anguilliformes, Anguillidae.